CGAAUAUUUGUCGCCAGCUAGUUCAUUUUUUAACUAACCUAAUAAAUAAACCAACCUAAUAAAUCUCUCUCUGUGCCCAUCCAUGUAUUGAGCUUUUUGAGUACUGUCAAACAUCCUCAGGGAAGUUGAAAAUACAAUAAAAAAUCCUGGAAAUUCAGCCAGAUAUGACAAUGAAAUAGUUAGUUGCCAGAAUUACCCAGAAAGGAUAACAUACACAGACGGUACAUAAGUACAUAUCAUAGGAAUGGAAAUAGUAGUAAAUCAGUAACUUUGACACACUAAGUGAGUGAAGUAGAAAUAAUAAUGCUGGAAGUUACUAAUAUAUAAAUAUUUGAUAUAACCUUACAGAUAUGAAACCUUUUGAUAAUUUGGUUAUACAAUUUCAAAUACUAAUAUAAUUUUUCGGGCUUCGAACAGCUAAUAUGUCAAACAAGGACAUUUUCUUCAGCCACAGCAAUGACAUUUUCUUCUAAUUAGUUUUUCAUUCAAGUAAAGCUGAAGAUUCAGGAAUAUAAGAUAAGCGUCCUAUGGAAACAUCCAGAAUCACAUAAGGGCAGACUGCAUCAUAGUACUCUAAACAUAAACAAUCCAAAGAUUAGUGAACCUGGCAGAGAAUUUAGGAUGCUUUUAGUUAACUUAAGAGCAUUACCCCAGAUAUAAAUAUUAACAAGACUCAUCUACCCCCAUCUACCACAUGCCCAACAGCAAAAUAAGAAGAAAAAAUAUCAAUACACUUGAAGUGCCUACAUUUCUCUAUAAAAAAAGGAUCCUACUCCUAUGUCCUAACACCACCAGUAGCAAUGAAUUGCCACCCAUAAAAAUCAUGACAUCGAACUGACAUUUCCAUCGCAUGCAUAAAACAUUUCUUUUUUCUUGUACACAAGGCUCACCAGAUUGAAGAAAGCUAGAAGAAAAUGGGGCAUUUGAAAUAGGGAUACAGACCCGAAGUGAAGCAUUCAAGAACCACAUUUUACAGAUACUGAAGAAAUUUUAGUUCAUUUUUUAACUAAACGGCGACAAAUAAAAAAGAUCGGAGGGAGUACUAUUUAAGAAAUGUCAUUCUCAAAAGCUUUCCACUUCUGUUUCACAUCAUUACAUAAAAUGAAUUUCCAAUUGAACUUAUGUAGUUUAUUCUGAAGGGUCAAAAGGAUACACUUACGAGAAAAUGAUUCAUGAUUAUCCCUGAAUGCUUCAUCCUCCCAUUUUCUCCAUUUAUGGAUAUAACAACAUGCAAAAAUUGGGAUCAAUGUGACAUCAAUGUCAAUCAUAAUAUUAUGUGUGCAUAACAGGUCUGAGAAGUGAGAAUCAACAUAAUGCAA
Molecule: long non-coding RNA, 1319 nt
Filed under: Zea mays
Lineage: Eukaryota; Viridiplantae; Streptophyta; Magnoliopsida; Poales; Poaceae
Description: long non-coding RNA (ZMAY_LNC004922)
Source: RNAcentral